AACUUACCUAAACGUUGCUUCGGCGGGAACAGACGGCCCCGUAAAACGGGCCGCCCCCGCCAGAGGACCCCUAACUCUGUUUCUAUUAUGUUUCUUCUGAGUAAAACAAGCAAAUAAAUUAAAACUUUCAACAACGGAUCUCUUGGCUCUGGCAUCGAUGAAGAACGCAGCGAAAUGCGAUAAGUAAUGUGAAUUGCAGAAUUCAGUGAAUCAUCGAAUCUUUGAACGCACAUUGCGCCCGCCAGUAUUCUGGCGGGCAUGCCUGUUCGAGCGUCAUUACAACCCUCAGGCCCCCGGGCCUGGCGUUGGGGAUCGGCGGAGCCCCCCGUGGGCACACGCCGUCCCCCAAAUACAGUGGCGGUCCCGCCGCAGCUUCCAUCGCGUAGUAGCUAACACCUCGCGACUGGAGAGCGGCGCGGCCACGCCGUAAAACACCCAACUCUUCUGAA
This 449-nucleotide unclassified non-coding RNA is filed under the name Fusarium solani. RNAcentral describes it as "sequence contains 18S rRNA gene, ITS1, 5.8S rRNA gene, ITS2, 28S rRNA gene". The stretch from base 123 to 276 matches the Rfam family "5.8S ribosomal RNA". The record is from RNAcentral. Lineage: Eukaryota; Fungi; Ascomycota; Sordariomycetes; Hypocreales; Nectriaceae.